CUGAACAAGAUCCUGUUGUGCUCUGAGGUAACCUUCUUCACUGUCGAGACGUAACAAAAAUCUGAUGCAGCUAUGCAGAAGAAAAGAAAAGCCCAGAGAUAGAGGGCCACGCAGACCGGAGGUUUGAGGCUUGGCUGCGACAGUACAACAGAUCAGGUGCCUCGAUAUCUGAAAAUUAUAACUUGCUGCCAACCACAUCAGAGUGUAAGGACUGACAGUAAAGCAAACAUUUUACACUGAAGCAAGGCCUCUCCUGGGAAAGGCAUUUCCAUCACUUGUAAUAUGCUGCCCGACCUGCUGAGCAGGCCUAGACCAUGGACAACAGAGGGAGACAAUGGCUUAGCAGUGAUGUCAUGGGUCUAGAUAACCUGGAGACCCAGGAAUUAUUCCAGGGACAGCCGCUCAGAUCCCACUCAGAAGCUGGAGAGAUUGAAUAAAAAGUAUUUGAAAUGUGAAUGAUUUGAAAUAAAAUAAAAUGAUGAUGACAAAA
Stegostoma tigrinum is the source of this 490-nucleotide long non-coding RNA. RefSeq lists it as uncharacterized. The record is from RefSeq and is a predicted model, not a curated record. The transcript is spliced from 3 exons. NCBI's taxonomy places the organism in Eukaryota, Metazoa, Chordata, Chondrichthyes, Orectolobiformes, Stegostomatidae.